CUGGAGAGAAAGGGCUGAGAACCCGGAGGCAGCGGCGGCGGCGGCGGCGGGCCGGGGCUGCCGGUUCGCAGGGCGGCUAGCUCGCGAGGAGGCGCGGCCAGAGCGGUGGGACCGGUGACAACAAGAGCCGAGAAGACGCAGGGACCCGGGACCGCGCGCGGGAGGAAACGCGGCGGCCGCCCAAGCUGUCACCUCCAGCCUCUCCCCUCUCGGCCGCCUCUGCCAGCAGCCAGAGCCGGACUCACUGACAAGCCGCAGAGAGAGACACACUGAGAGGGAGAUGAUUAUUAGUUGCGUUGAGUCAUCAGGCAAAGACCCCGAGGGCUCUCCCACAUCUCCCGCAGCAAGAGCUACCGAUCCCCCUUAAGAAGCGUUGACUGUACGGCGGCGCCAGAGGGCCAAACUAAGUUCGGUUUCGGGAAACGCUCUCGGGAGCAGUUCUGUAAAUCCCGGCUGCGGAAAGCUGAGUCCGCCGAUCGUGCCCGGGACAAGGCUGCCUUCCACUCGCCGCAUCUACCUGGUAGGCGGCAUGCGCACGGGCUUA
This 544-nucleotide non-coding RNA is filed under the name Pongo abelii (Sumatran orangutan). Lineage: Eukaryota; Metazoa; Chordata; Mammalia; Primates; Hominidae. The record is from RNAcentral.